GAUGAACGCUGGCGGCGUGCUUAAUACAUGCAAGUCGAACGGAAAGACGCGGAGCUUGCUCCUCUGACGUUAGCGGCGCACGGGUGUGACACACGUGGAUAACCUACCUGUAUGACUGGGAACACCUCGGGAAACGGGCGCUAAUCCCGGAUAAUCUACUGAAGCGCAUGGUUCAAUAGUGAAAGUCGGUUUUGUUGUCUCGUAUCGAUGGUUCCUCGCCGCAUUGGCUGGUUGGUAAGGUCAAGGCUUACCAAGGCAACGAUGGGUAGCCGACCUGUGAGGGUGAUCGGCCACACUGGAAGUGAGACACGGUCCAGACUCCUACGGGAGGCAGCAGUAGGGAAUCGUCCGCAAUGGGCGAAAGCCUGACGCAGCAACGCCGCGUGAGUGAUGAAGGUCUUCGGUUCGUAAAACUCUGUUAUGAGGGAAGAACAGAUGUGUAAGUAACUAUGCACGUCUUGACGGUACCUGAUCAGAAAGCCACGGCUAACUACGUG
This 497-nucleotide ribosomal RNA is filed under the name uncultured bacterium. Its description in RNAcentral is "partial 16S ribosomal RNA". It matches the Rfam family "Bacterial small subunit ribosomal RNA", at positions 28 to 507 of the family's 1533-position model. The record is from RNAcentral.